RNAcentral lists this ribosomal RNA (307 nucleotides) under uncultured eukaryote. RNAcentral describes it as "partial 18S ribosomal RNA". It matches the Rfam family "Eukaryotic small subunit ribosomal RNA", at positions 1470 to 1796 of the family's 1831-position model. The record is from RNAcentral.
CCCUUAGACGUUCUGGGCCGCACGCGCGCUACACUGACGAAGGCAACGAGCUUUCCUUUACCGAAAGGUACGGGUAAUCUUUUGAAACUUCGUCGUGCUGGGGAUAGAUCCUUGCAAUUUUUGAUCUUAAACGAGGAAUGCCUAGUAAGCGCAAGUCAUCAACUUGCGUUGAUUACGUCCCUGCCCUUUGUACACACCGCCCGUCGCUACUACCGAUUGAAUGGUUUAGUGAGGUCUUCGGAUCCGCGACUCGUUUGUGGAGAAGUUGGACAAACUCAGUCAUUUAGAGGAAGUAAAAGUCGUAACA